This 30-nucleotide non-coding RNA is filed under the name Rattus norvegicus (Norway rat). Lineage: Eukaryota; Metazoa; Chordata; Mammalia; Rodentia; Muridae. The record is from RNAcentral.
UGGAUGUGUUUUCCUGAGCUCAUGUUCAGC